AGUGAAUGCUGGCGGCAUGCUUUAUACAUGCAAGUCGAACGGAGAAGAAUUUUUGUAGCAAUACAGAAAGUUUUUUUAGUGGCGAACGGGUGAGUAAUAUAUAGGAACUUACUCAAUAGUGGGGGAUAACAGUUGGAAACGACUGCUAAUACCGCAUAUUCCCGAGAGGGGAAAGGUAUUUAUAUCGCUAUCGAAGAGGCUUAUAUCUGAUUAGCUAGUUGGUGCGAUAACUGCUUACCAAGGCAAUGAUCAGUAGCCGGUCUGAGAGGAUGAUCGGCCACAUUGGGACUGAGAUACGGCCCAAACUCCUACGGGAGGCAGCAGUAGGGAAUAUUGGACAAAUGGACGAAAGUCUGAUCCAGCAAUGCCGCGUGAGUGAUGAAGGUGUUAUGCAUCGUAAAGCUCUUUUAACAGGGAAGAUAAUGACAGUACCUGUAGAAUAAG
This 444-nucleotide ribosomal RNA is filed under the name uncultured bacterium. RNAcentral's name for it is "bacterial SSU rRNA". It matches the Rfam family "Bacterial small subunit ribosomal RNA", at positions 29 to 490 of the family's 1533-position model. The record is from RNAcentral.